UCGACGCUUUGUGGUUCACUGAUUUGAAGAGCUUGCUCAGAUAUGACGAUGGACAUUGCAAAGAGUGGCGAACGGGUGAGUAACACGUGGGAAACCUACCUCUUAGCAGGGGAUAACAUUUGGAAACAGAUGCUAAUACCGUAUAACAAUGACAACCGCAUGGUUGUUAUUUAAAAGAUGGUUCUGCUAUCACUAAGAGAUGGUCCCGCGGUGCAUUAGCUAGUUGGUAAGGUAAUGGCUUACCAAGGCGAUGAUGCAUAGCCGAGUUGAGAGACUGAUCGGCCACAAUGGGACUGAGACACGGCCCAUACUCCUACGGGAGGCAGCAGUAGGGAAUCUUCCACAAUGGGCGAAAGCCUGAUGGAGCAACGCCGCGUGUGUGAUGAAGGGUUUCGGCUCGUAAAACACUGUUGUAAGAGAAGAAUGACAUUGAGAGUAACUGUUCAAUGUGUGACGGUAUCUUACCAGAAAGGAACGGCUAAAUACGUGCCAGCAGCCGCGGUAAUACGUAUGUUCCAAGCGUUAUCCGGAUUUAUUGGGCGUAAAGCGAGCGCAGACGGUUAUUUAAGUCUGAAGUGAAAGCCCUCAGCUCAACUGAGGAAUUGCUUUGGAAACUGGAUGACUUGAGUGCAGUAGAGGAAAGUGGAACUCCAUGUGUAGCGGUGAAAUGCGUAGAUAUAUGGAAGAACACCAGUGGCGAAGGCGGCUUUCUGGACUGUAACUGACGUUGAGGCUCGAAAGUGUGGGUAGCAAACAGGAUUAGAUACCCUGGUAGUCCACACCGUAAACGAUGAGUGCUAGGUGUUUGAGGGUUUCCGCCCUUAAGUGCCGCAGCUAACGCAUUAAGCACUCCGCCUGGGGAGUACGACCGCAAGGUUGAAACUCAAAGGAAUUGACGGGGACCCGCACAAGCGGUGGAGCAUGUGGUUUAAUUCGAAGCAACGCGAAGAACCUUACCAGGUCUUGACAUCCCUUGACAACUCCAGAGAUGGAGCGUUCCCUUCGGGGACAAGGUGACAGGUGGUGCAUGGUUGUCGUCAGCUCGUGUCGUGAGAUGUUGGGGUUAAGUCCCGCAACGAGCGCAACCCUUAUUACUAGUUGCCAGCAUUCAGUUGGGCACUCUAGUGAGACUGCCGGUGACAAACCGGAGGAAGGUGGGGAUGACGUCAAAUCAUCAUGCCCCUUAUGACCUGGGCUACACACGUGCUACAAUGGCGUAUACAACGAGUUGCCAACCCGCGAGGGUGAGCUAAUCUCUUAAAGUACGUCUCAGUUCGGAUUGUAGGCUGCAACUCGCCUACAUGAAGUCGGAAUCGCUAGUAAUCGCGGAUCAGCACGCCGCGGUGAAUACGUUCCCGGGUCUUGUACACACCGCCCGUCACACCAUGAGAGUUUGUAACACCCAAAGCCGGUGG
Molecule: ribosomal RNA, 1415 nt
Filed under: Weissella confusa
Lineage: Bacteria; Bacillati; Bacillota; Bacilli; Lactobacillales; Lactobacillaceae
Description: bacterial SSU rRNA
Rfam family: Bacterial small subunit ribosomal RNA
Source: RNAcentral